Molecule: ribosomal RNA, 449 nt
Filed under: uncultured bacterium
Lineage: Bacteria
Description: partial 16S ribosomal RNA
Rfam family: Bacterial small subunit ribosomal RNA
Source: RNAcentral
AGCGAACGCUGGCGGCAGGCUUAACACAUGCAAGUCGAACGGGCACUUCGGUGUCAGUGGCAGACGGGUGAGUAACACGUGGGAACGUACCUUUUGGUUCGGAACAACUGAGGGAAACUUCAGCUAAUACCGGAUAAGCCCCUACGGGGAAAGAUUUAUCGCCGAAAGAUCGGCCCGCGUCUGAUUAGCUAGUUGGUAGGGUAAUGGCCUACCAAGGCGACGAUCAGUAGCUGGUCUGAGAGGAUGAUCAGCCACAUUGGGACUGAGACACGGCCCAAACUCCUACGGGAGGCAGCAGUGGGGAAUAUUGGACAAUGGGGGCAACCCUGAUCCAGCCAUGCCGCGUGAGUGAUGAAGGCCCUAGGGUUGUAAAGCUCUUUUAUGCGGGAAGAUAAUGACGGUACCGCAAGAAUAAGCCCCGGCUAACUUCGUGCCAGCAGCCGCCGUAA